GAUGAACGCUGGCGGCGUGCCUAAUACAUGCAAGUCGAGCGAACAGACGAGGAGCUUGCUCCUCUGACGUUAGCGGCGGACGGGUGAGUAACACGUGGAUAACCUACCUAUAAGACUGGGAUAACUUCGGGAAACCGGAGCUAAUACCGGAUAAUAUAUUGAACCGCAUGGUUCAAUAGUGAAAGACGGUUUUGCUGUCACUUAUAGAUGGAUCCGCGCCGCAUUAGCUAGUUGGUAAGGUAACGGCUUACCAAGGCGACGAUGCGCAGCCGACCUGAGAGGGUGAUCGGCCACACUGGAACUGAGACACGGUCCAGACUCCUACGGGAGGCAGCAGUAGGGAAUCUUCCGCAAUGGGCGAAAGCCUGACGGAGCAACGCCGCGUGAGUGAUGAAGGUCUUCGGAUCGUAAAACUCUGUUAUUAGGGAAGAACAAAUGUGUAAGUAACUAUGCACGUCUUGACGGUACCUAAUCAGAAAGCCACGGCUAACUACGU
RNAcentral lists this ribosomal RNA (496 nucleotides) under uncultured bacterium. RNAcentral describes it as "partial 16S ribosomal RNA". It matches the Rfam family "Bacterial small subunit ribosomal RNA", at positions 28 to 506 of the family's 1533-position model. The record is from RNAcentral.